Molecule: ribosomal RNA, 254 nt
Filed under: uncultured bacterium
Lineage: Bacteria
Description: partial 16S ribosomal RNA
Rfam family: Bacterial small subunit ribosomal RNA
Source: RNAcentral
CUUCGUGGCUCGUUGCCGAUGUCUUUCGCCAGACUGCCGGUAGCAAGCCGGAGGAAGGUGGGGAUGAUGUCAAGUCAGCAUGGCCCUUACAUCCUGGGCUACACGCACGCUACAAUGGCCGGGACAAUGGGCUGCCAAACCGCAAGGUGGAGCGAAUCCCACAAACCCGGUCUCAGUUCAGAUCGCGGGCUGCAACUCGCCCGCGUGAAGGUGGAGUCGCUAGUAACCGCGGGUCAGCACUACCGCGGUGAAUA